AGAGUUUGAUCAUGGCUCAGGAUGAACGCUAGCGGGAGGCUUAAUACAUGCAAGUCGAGCGUCCCGCAAGGGAAGCGGCGCACGGGUGAGUAACACGUACGCAAUCUACCUUAUGCAGGGGGAUAGCCCUGGGAAACUGGGAGUAAUCCGCCAUAGGAUUGUUGUUUGGCAUCAGAUAACAAUUAAAGUACAAGCGGCAUAAGAUGAGCGUGCGUCUGAUUAGCUAGUUGGGGUGGUAACGGCACACCAAGGCUACGAUCAGUAAGGGGCGUGAGAGCGUGGCCCCUCACACGGGUACUGAGACACGGACCCGACUCCUACGGGAGGCAGCAGUAAGGAAUAUUGGACAAUGGGCGGAAGCCUGAUCCAGCCAUCCCGCGUGCUUGAUGAAGGCCCUCUGGGUCGUAAAGAGCUUUAGACUGGGAAGAAACCACUUGAUGCGUCAGGUGUUGACGGUACCAGUAGAAUAAGCACCGGCUAACUCCGUGCCAGCCGCCGCGGUAAUAC
Molecule: ribosomal RNA, 507 nt
Filed under: uncultured bacterium
Lineage: Bacteria
Description: bacterial SSU rRNA
Rfam family: Bacterial small subunit ribosomal RNA
Source: RNAcentral